This is a long non-coding RNA of Rhagoletis pomonella (apple maggot), 410 nucleotides long. RefSeq lists it as uncharacterized. The record is from RefSeq and is a predicted model, not a curated record. Lineage: Eukaryota; Metazoa; Arthropoda; Insecta; Diptera; Tephritidae. The transcript is spliced from 2 exons.
AGGAAAUCUGAUGUAAUAAUGUACUUAAUACAUUUAAGGACCACCCUAAUGUACAUACAUAACGUGCAAAUGAAUUCUUGUUCACAUAGUUGUGUACAUAUUUACAUACAUACAUACAUAUACAUAUAUGUGCUUAUGGCCUUUAAAAAUUUAUAGACUUGUAAAUUUAUUUAGAUUGUCUCUGGCACAUAAUCACACAACGUCACAACAGUGCACAAAUGCAAUUGACGUGAUGCACUGCCGCUCAAGAUGAGCUGCGAAAGCAAGCUGCUGCACUACUUCCAUAUAUAGAAUAUAGAAUAUCAACACUAACCACUAUCAAGCCUCCAGCUUGGGCAUAAUAAAAAUCGUCCAUUGAUUUAUUUACGAGCUCAGCGCCUGCGAAGUGUCCUUAGCAAAGGGACUUUGAA